UGCUGGCAAGAAAUGGUGGGCUGAGUUUUUCACCCUAUGCCCCUAAUAAGAAUUGGGAAGUCCAGCUGUUCAUUGUAGAGUUUGAAGGUGUUGGACAUUCAGAAUGGGGUGGUAAUGAAGAUUAUGAUGGCAUCAAGGAAUUGACUGGCUUAAGAAGUGUGGCUGUUCUACUCUGCACAUUCCAAUAAACUGGUGGUUGAUGUCCUUGGUACUCUGGAUGUUUUCCUGGCCUUUGAAGUCUUCAGUUGAAACCUCAACCUGAAACAAAAUUGUCAACAUUAGUUAUAUUGUAUACUAUUUAAUAAAUCUUUUAAUGAA
Procambarus clarkii (red swamp crayfish) is the source of this 318-nucleotide non-coding RNA. The record is from RefSeq and is a predicted model, not a curated record. Lineage: Eukaryota; Metazoa; Arthropoda; Malacostraca; Decapoda; Cambaridae.